Molecule: ribosomal RNA, 248 nt
Filed under: uncultured phototrophic eukaryote
Lineage: Eukaryota
Description: partial 16S ribosomal RNA
Rfam family: Bacterial small subunit ribosomal RNA
Source: RNAcentral
UCAGGGAGGAAUAAAAUGACGUGUACCUGAAGAAUAAGCAUCGGCUAACUCCGUGCCAGCAGCCGCGGUAAGACGGAGGAUGCAAGUGUUAUCCGGAAUCACUGGGCGUAAAGCGUCUGUAGGUGGUUUAAUAAGUCAACUGUUAAAUCUUGAGGCUCAACUUCAAAAUCGCAGUCGAAACUAUUAGACUAGAGUAUAGUAGAGGUAAAGGGAAUUUCCAGUGGAGCGGUGAAAUGCGUAGAUAUUGG